This 253-nucleotide ribosomal RNA is filed under the name uncultured bacterium. Its description in RNAcentral is "partial 16S ribosomal RNA". It matches the Rfam family "Bacterial small subunit ribosomal RNA", at positions 524 to 776 of the family's 1533-position model. The record is from RNAcentral.
UACGGGGGGGGCAAGCGUUGUUCGGAAUUACUGGGCGUAAAGGGCUCGUAGGCGGCCAACUAAGUCGGACGUGAAAUCCCCAGGCUCAACCUGGGAACUGCGUCCGAUACUGGAUGGCUUGAAUCCGAGAGAGGGAUGCAGAAUUCCAGGUGUAGCGGUGAAAUGCGUAGAUAUCUGGAGGAAUACCGGUGGCGAAGGCGGCAUCCUGGACCGGCAUUGACGCUGAGGAGCGAAAGCCAGGGGAGCAAACGGG